This 1703-nucleotide long non-coding RNA is filed under the name Olea europaea subsp. europaea. Lineage: Eukaryota; Viridiplantae; Streptophyta; Magnoliopsida; Lamiales; Oleaceae. The record is from RNAcentral.
AAAAGAAAUAAUCUUAUUCAUAUAAUGCAAGUGUUUCUAAACAUUGCCCUAAGCCCCUUCAUAUAGAGAAGGACUUUGAAAUUAAAUAAACUUCUUAUCUAAAGAAACUUGAAAAUAAAAGAUAACAUUGUCAAAAUAAAACUAUUAUAAUUUAGAUAUACUAGAAUUCUACUGAUUAUUAGUCUUUCGCCUUGAAUAGACUUUUAAUUGUUUCCUUGUUGCAUCAUUCCUCCCCGGCUGAAAAGAACUCGACUCCGACGAGGUAUAGUCCAAGUAAGCAUCCAAAAGCUUUGGAUCCAAUUGACGAAAUUCUUCUUCAUUAAUCCACGUAGCAUCACUAAGCGGACGAUCUUUCGAACACACAAGAAACCUACGAAAACCCCCAUUUUGGGAUGUAAUGAUCUCAUCAUCGAGCACCUCAUCAACAAUAUCCUGAUGUGAAAAUGUGGUAAUGGGGGCUCGAGGGAGCGGUUGAGAAACUUGUCCUGCAGACAUGUUAGAAGACAAAAUCGGAGGCUCGAAUGUGCCUCGAUAAGGAUAUAAAUCUGCUAUAUUGAAAACUGGACUAAUAUUUAAGUGCAUUGGCAAAUCAAGUAGAUAAGCAUUAGUUCCAAGCCUUUUAAUAACAAGGAAAGGGACAAGUGAUCUAGCACAAAGUUUUUUUGCAGCAUGUUUUGGAAAACGUUCAGGUGCAAGUCUUAUCUUAACAAAAUCGCCAAUCUUAAACUCUUUAUGCCUACGAUGUGCAUCAGCUGUUAGUUUAUAGUGGUCAUUGCUUAAAACAAUUUUUCUUUUAAUCUCUUCAUGUAAGGUGCGAAUAUGAUCAGCAAAAGAUUGCGCAGAUGCAACAGGACGAAAAUCAGUAGGUAAUGGAACGAGGUCCAGUGGUUAUCGUGGGGAGAAACCUUGAACAAUCUCAAAUGGACUAUGACCGGUAGACCUAUUAACAGAAUUAUUGUAUGUAAAUUCAGCGGUAGGCAAUACCAAAUCCCAAUUACCCGAUUUGUCCCCAACUAAACAACGAAGCAAAUUACGUAAACUACGAUUUACUACUUCUGUUUGAUCAUCUGUUUGGGGGUGGAAUGCUGAUGAAAACUUAAGAGUUGUCCCAAACAAUUUCCAUAGAGUUUUCCAAAAGUAACUAACAAAUUUAACAUCUCUAUCAGAAACAAUAGUGAUUGGCAGUCCGUGCAGGUGAACAACCUCUUUAAAGAAUAACUUAGCGAUAUAUGAUGCAUCAGUAGACUUGGAACAUGGAAUGAAAUGGGCCAUCUUGGAAAAUCUAUCGACGACAACAAAAAUGAAAUCAUGACCUCUUGCAGUUUUAAGCAAUCCUAGGAGAAAAUCCAUACUAAGGUCACGCCAAGGAGUAUGAGGAACAGGUAGGGGAGUAUACAUCCCCGUGUUUUGACGUUGGGUCUUACCCAAUUUACACGUGCGACAUUGAGACACAAUACGAGCCACAUCCUUUUUAAGGGAAGGCCAGUAAAAUCUAUCCUCAACUAAGGAGACAGUUUUAUCACAACCAAAGUGACCUGCGAGACCUCCAGCAUGGAGUUCCCAAAUAAGGAACUCACGAAGUGAGGUGAGAGGAAACACAACUUGUUACCUUUAAAAAGAUAACCCUCUUUAAGCAAGAAAGCGACAUGAUUACGAGAGAAGUUAGAUACGAGAUCUUGAAAAAUGAGACCAAAGUCGGGACA